RNAcentral lists this ribosomal RNA (370 nucleotides) under uncultured bacterium. Its description in RNAcentral is "partial 16S ribosomal RNA". It matches the Rfam family "Bacterial small subunit ribosomal RNA", at positions 338 to 725 of the family's 1533-position model. The record is from RNAcentral.
CCUACGGGCGGCAGCAGUGGGGAAUAUUGCACAAUGGGGGAAACCCUGAUGCAGCAACGCCGCGUGAGUGAAGAAGUAUUUCGGUAUGUAAAGCUCUAUCAGCAGGGAAGAGAAUGACGGUACCUGACUAAGAAGCCCCGGCUAACUACGUGCCAGCAGCCGCGGUAAUACGGAGGGGGCAAGCGUUAUCCGGAUUUACGGGGUGUAAAGGGCGCGUAGACGGCUGUACAAGUCUGAAGUGAAAGCGCGUGGCUCAACCGCGGAACUGCUUUGGAAACUGGAAAGCUGGAGUACUGGAGAGGCAGGCGGAAUGCGUGGUGGAGCGGGGAAAGGCGGAGAUAGUGGGAGGAACCCGAGGGGCGAAGGCGGC